UCCGUAGGCGGGCUAAUAAGUCAGGGGUGAAAUACCACAGCUCACCUGUGGAACUGCCUUUGAUACUGUUAGUCUUGAGUUAUAUGGAAGUAGAUAGAAUGUGUAGUGUAGCGGUGAAAUGCAUAGAUAUUACACAGAAUACCGAUUGCGAAGGCCGUCUACUACGUAUAUACUGACGCUAAUGGACGAAAGCGUGGGGAGCGAACAGGAUUAGAUACCCUGGUAGUCC
This 229-nucleotide ribosomal RNA is filed under the name uncultured bacterium. RNAcentral describes it as "partial 16S ribosomal RNA". It matches the Rfam family "Bacterial small subunit ribosomal RNA", at positions 568 to 796 of the family's 1533-position model. The record is from RNAcentral.